RNAcentral lists this ribosomal RNA (253 nucleotides) under uncultured bacterium. RNAcentral describes it as "partial 16S ribosomal RNA". It matches the Rfam family "Bacterial small subunit ribosomal RNA", at positions 524 to 776 of the family's 1533-position model. The record is from RNAcentral.
UACGUAGGGUGCAAGCGUUAUCCGGAAUUAUUGGGCGUAAAGAGCUCGUAGGCGGUUUGUCGCGUCUGCUGUGAAAACUGGAGGCUCAACCUCCAGCCUGCAGUGGGUACGGGCAGACUAGAGUGCGGUAGGGGAGAUUGGAAUUCCUGGUGUAGCGGUGGAAUGCGCAGAUAUCAGGAGGAACACCGAUGGCGAAGGCAGAUCUCUGGGCCAUUACUGACGCUGAUGGACGAAAGCUAGGGGAGCGAAAGGG